UACGUGGGGUGCAAGCGUUAAUCGGAAUUACUGGGCGUAAAGCGUGCGCAGGCGGUUUGUUAAGACGGAUGUGAAAUCCCCGGGCUCAACCUGGGAACUGCAUUCGUGACUGGCAGGCUAGAGUAUGGCAGAGGGGGGUGGAAUUCCACGUGUAGCAGUGAAAUGCGUAGAGAUGUGGAGGAACACCGAUGGCGAAGGCAGCCCCCUGGGCCAAUACUGAUGCUCAUGCACGAAAGCGUGGGGAGCAAACAGG
This 253-nucleotide ribosomal RNA is filed under the name uncultured bacterium. RNAcentral's name for it is "partial 16S ribosomal RNA". It matches the Rfam family "Bacterial small subunit ribosomal RNA", at positions 524 to 776 of the family's 1533-position model. The record is from RNAcentral.